This 243-nucleotide ribosomal RNA is filed under the name uncultured bacterium. RNAcentral describes it as "partial 16S ribosomal RNA". It matches the Rfam family "Bacterial small subunit ribosomal RNA", at positions 14 to 245 of the family's 1533-position model. The record is from RNAcentral.
GUAUCAUGGCUCAGGAUGAACGCUAGCUACAGGCUUAACACAUGCAAGUCGAGGGGCAGCAUUUCAGUUUGCUUGCAAACUGAAGAUGGCGACCGGCGCACGGGUGAGUAACACGUAUCCAACCUGCCGGAUAACUCGGGGAUAGCCUUUCGAAACGAAAGAUUAAUAUCCGAUGGUAUAAUUAGACCGCAUGGUCUUGUUAUUAAAGAAUUUCGGUUAUCGAUGGGGAUGCGUUCCAUUAGG